RNAcentral lists this ribosomal RNA (426 nucleotides) under uncultured bacterium. Its description in RNAcentral is "partial 16S ribosomal RNA". It matches the Rfam family "Bacterial small subunit ribosomal RNA", at positions 355 to 774 of the family's 1533-position model. The record is from RNAcentral.
UGGGGAAUAUUGGACAAUGGGCGAAAGCCUGAUCCAGCCAUGCCGCGUGUGUGAAGAAGGUCUUCGGAUUGUAAAGCACUUUAAGUUGGGAGGAAGGCAUUAACCUAAUACGUUAGUGUUUUGACGUUACCGACAGAAUAAGCACCGGCUAACUCUGUGCCAGCAGCCGCGGUAAUACAGAGGGUGCAAGCGUUAAUCGGAAUUACUGGGCGUAAAGCGCGCGUAGGUGGUUUGUUAAGUUGGAUGUGAAAUCCCCGGGCUCAACCUGGGAACUGCAUUCAAAACUGACUGACUAGAGUAUGGUAGAGGGUGGUGGAAUUUCCUGUGUAGCGGUGAAAUGCGUAGAUAUAGGAAGGAACACCAGUGGCGAAGGCGACCACCUGGACUAAUACUGACACUGAGGUGCGAAAGCGUGGGGAGCAAACA